AAAGUCGUAACAAGGUUUCCGUAGGUGAACCUGCGGAAGGAUCAUUACACUUAGGUGCUCCGAAAGGACCCUCUGCUGCCGUAAGGUGGCAACCACACCCUCUGUCUACCUGUACCUCUUGUUGUUUCCUCGGCAGGCCGCUUACGCCAGCCGCUAGGAAUACCUUCAACCCUUGUAUCUAAAGUAUCUGAAACUCUGAUAACAAAACAAACAAAUCACAACUUUCAACAAUGGAUCUCUUGGUUCUG
This 248-nucleotide unclassified non-coding RNA is filed under the name Ascomycota sp. Its description in RNAcentral is "partial contains small subunit ribosomal RNA, internal transcribed spacer 1, and 5.8S ribosomal RNA". The stretch from base 1 to 47 matches the Rfam family "Eukaryotic small subunit ribosomal RNA", at positions 1785 to 1831 of the family's 1831-position model. Lineage: Eukaryota; Fungi; Ascomycota. The record is from RNAcentral.